Molecule: small RNA, 19 nt
Filed under: Arabidopsis thaliana (thale cress)
Lineage: Eukaryota; Viridiplantae; Streptophyta; Magnoliopsida; Brassicales; Brassicaceae
Description: ATSL053100
Source: RNAcentral
AGUUUUUAAAGAGUUUUUU